CCGUAAACACAGUUUCUCUUCCGCUCACCAAAGUUAAGCAACCUCGAUCCGGGUUAGUACUUAGAUGGGGGAACAGUUGGGAACACCGGGUGCU
Acanthosepion pharaonis is the source of this 94-nucleotide non-coding RNA. Lineage: Eukaryota; Metazoa; Mollusca; Cephalopoda; Sepiida; Sepiidae. The record is from the annotation of a GenBank genome assembly.